Molecule: unclassified non-coding RNA, 477 nt
Filed under: Hevea brasiliensis (rubber tree)
Lineage: Eukaryota; Viridiplantae; Streptophyta; Magnoliopsida; Malpighiales; Euphorbiaceae
Source: RNAcentral
GCAACACAUUUUCUGCCUCAGAUUGAAGCCUGAAAGGAUCCUUCUUCCUACACAGCUUACAAACACAAUCAAGUAUUGCAUUAUAAGCUGAAGCCCCAAUUUCGAACCCUCCCCUAUACAUCUCCCCAGCUAACCGCUGUGCCUCAUCAAGUUUCCCAUCAAUACACCAACCCCUUACCAGCAUAUCGCAUAUAUAUUCGUCCGGGAAGAAUUCGCAAGCCAAACUUUUAACCAUUUUCUCAGCAUAGCUAGCAAAUCCAUGCUCACACAACCUAGAAACUACCAACUUCAAAGAAUCUAAAUCCCUCGCUAAACCGUAAUCUUUCUCCAUAUUUUCAAAAAAUGCUACUGUCUGAGUGGGUCUUCCAGCCCUAACAAGUCUAUCAACCAUGGAUUCUAACGUCUUCCUUCCCGUUAACCCUAUCCCAUCAAUAAGUACAUCCUGGGCAGCUUUAAAAUCCUUUCUCCUUCCAAAAU